UAGGGUGGUUAUAGCAUUGGGGCUCACCUCUUCCCAUCUCGAACAGAGAAGUUAAGCCCAAUAGCGCCGAUGGUACUGCAUUUAUGUGGGAGAGUAGGUCGCUGCCUUUC
RNAcentral lists this ribosomal RNA (110 nucleotides) under Polaribacter reichenbachii. RNAcentral also lists the same sequence under 4 other names. The record is from RNAcentral. Lineage: Bacteria; Pseudomonadati; Bacteroidota; Flavobacteriia; Flavobacteriales; Flavobacteriaceae.